UAAUAAAUUGUAAUAUUAACUUUUAAAUUUUAAACUAAGUUAAAUUGUAAUAUCAUUUUAAAGUUAUUUCCCAAAAGAUUUUAAAUUUUAUUUUAUAAUUAUUUCCCAAAAGUAUAUAUUAUUUCCCAAAAAUAUAAAUUUCCAAACUAAUGUUAUUUCCCCUUUAACUAUUUCAUUUCCCUCCCUUUAACUAUUUCAUUCCCCCUAUUUCAUUUUCCCCAAUAUCAUUUCCCUAAUUUUUUUCAUUCCCCCCAAUCUCAUUCCCCCCAAUAUCAUUUCCUCCAAUCUCUAUCCCCCAAUCUCGUUCUUAACCACCAACAUUUCUCCAUCAACCACCAACGGCGUUCUCGGUCAACUACACCAACAUUUCAGCGGCGUCGAGGUAACUCCAGUCCGGCGCGUCGAGGUAACUCCAGUACUCCGGCAAGUCGAGGUAACUCCAGUCGGACUUCUAUUUAUCAUUUCN
Molecule: long non-coding RNA, 466 nt
Filed under: Zostera marina
Lineage: Eukaryota; Viridiplantae; Streptophyta; Magnoliopsida; Alismatales; Zosteraceae
Description: long non-coding RNA (ZMAR_LNC003691)
Source: RNAcentral